UUUCAGUAAGGAGGAAAGGUUAAGUGUUAAUAGCACUUAGCUGUGACGUUACUUACAGAAGAAGCACCGGCUAACUCCGUGCCAGCAGCCGCGGUAAUACGGAGGGUGCGAGCGUUAAUCGGAAUUACUGGGCGUAAAGCGUACGCAGGCGGUUUGUUAAGCGAGAUGUGAAAGCCCCGGGCUCAACCUGGGAACUGCAUUUCGAACUGGCAAACUAGAGUGUGAUAGAGGGUGGUAGAAUUUCAGGUGUAGCGGUGAAAUGCGUAGAGAUCUGAAGGAAUACCGAUGGCGAAGGCAGCCACCUGGGUCAACACUGACGCUCAUGUACGAAAGCGUGGGGAGCAAACAGGAUUAGAUACCCUGGUAGUCCACGCCGUAAACGAUGUCUACUAGAAGCUCGGGUCUUCGGACUUGUUUUUCAAAGCUAACGCAUUAAGUAGACCGCCUGGGGAGUACGGCCGCAAGGUUAAAACUCAAAUGAAUUGACGGGGGCCCGCACAAGCGGUGGAGCAUGUGGUUUAAUUCGAUGCAACGCGAAGAACCUUACCUACACUUGACAUACAGAGAACUUACCAGAGAUGGUUUGGUGCCUUCGGGAACUCUGAUACAGGUGCUGCAUGGCUGUCGUCAGCUCGUGUUGUGAG
This 644-nucleotide ribosomal RNA is filed under the name Pseudoalteromonas sp. ARC-ML4B5. RNAcentral's name for it is "bacterial SSU rRNA". It matches the Rfam family "Bacterial small subunit ribosomal RNA", at positions 434 to 1071 of the family's 1533-position model. Lineage: Bacteria; Pseudomonadati; Pseudomonadota; Gammaproteobacteria; Alteromonadales; Pseudoalteromonadaceae. The record is from RNAcentral.